ACUGUGAAACUGCGAAUGGCUCAUUAAAUCAGUUAUGGUUUAUUUGAUGGUACCUUGCUACUUGGAUAACCGUAGUAAUUCUAGAGCUAAUACAUGCAGGAGUUCCCGACUCACGGAGGGAUGUAUUUAUUAGAUAAGAAACCAAACCGGUCUCCGGUUGCGUGCUGAGUCAUAAUAACUGCUCGAAUCGCACGGCUCUACGCCGGCGAUGGUUCAUUCAAAUUUCUGCCCUAUCAGCUUUCGAUGGUAGGAUAGGGGCCUACCAUGGCGUUAACGGGUAACGGAGAAUUAGGGUUCGAUUCCGGAGAGGGAGCCUGAGAAAUGGCUACCACAUCCAAGGAAGGCAGCAGGCGCGUAAAUUGCCCGAAUCCUGACACAGGGAGGUAGUGACAAGAAAUAACAAUACAGGGCUAUUUUAGUCUUGUAAUUGGAAUGAGUACAAUUUACAUCUCUUCACGAGGAUCAAUUGGAGGGCAAGUCUGGUGCCAGCAGCCGCGGUAAUUCCAGCUCCAAUAGCGUAUAUUAAAGUUGUUGCAGUUAAAACGCUCGUAGUCGGAUUUCGGGGCGGGCCGACCGGCCUGCCGAUGGGUAUGCACUGGCCGGCGCGUCCUUCCACCCGGAGACCGCGCCUACUCUUAACUGAGCGGGCGCGGGAGACGGGUCUUUUACUUUGAAAAAAUCAGAGUGUUUCAAGCAGGCAGUCGCUCUUGCAUGGAUUAGCAUGGGAUAAUGAAAUAGGACUCUGGUGCUAUUUUGUUGGUUUCGAACACCGGAGUAAUGAUUAACA
This 787-nucleotide ribosomal RNA is filed under the name uncultured eukaryote. RNAcentral describes it as "SSU rRNA". It matches the Rfam family "Eukaryotic small subunit ribosomal RNA", at positions 78 to 874 of the family's 1831-position model. The record is from RNAcentral.